UAGGGAAUAUUGGACAAUGGGUGAGAGCCUGAUCCAGCCAUGCCGCGUGCAGGAGGAAGGCGUUAUGCGUUGUAAACUGCUUUUUGCCAGGGGAUAAAAAGACCGUGCGCGGUUAAUUGAAGGUACCUGGUGAAUAAGCCACGGCUAACUACGUGCCAGCAGCCGCGGUAAUACGUAGGUGGCAAGCGUUGUCCGGAUUUAUUGGGUUUAAAGGGUGCGUAGGUGGCCCUGUAAGUCAGUGGUGAAAUAUCUCAGCUUAACUGAGAGGGUGCCAUUGAUACUGCAGGGCUUGAGUACAGAUGAGGUAGGCGGAAUUGACGGUGUAGCGGUGAAAUGCAUAGAUAUCGUCAAGAACACCGAUAGCGAAGGCAGCUUACCAAGCUGUAACUGACACUGAGGCACGAAAGUGUGGGGAUCAAACAGGAUUAGAUACCCCAGUAGUCCCUGAGCGGGCUGGCAAGGCGCAU
This 467-nucleotide ribosomal RNA is filed under the name uncultured bacterium. RNAcentral's name for it is "bacterial SSU rRNA". It matches the Rfam family "Bacterial small subunit ribosomal RNA", at positions 355 to 825 of the family's 1533-position model. The record is from RNAcentral.